RNAcentral lists this ribosomal RNA (433 nucleotides) under uncultured bacterium. RNAcentral's name for it is "partial 16S ribosomal RNA". It matches the Rfam family "Bacterial small subunit ribosomal RNA", at positions 29 to 507 of the family's 1533-position model. The record is from RNAcentral.
AACGAACGCUGGCGGCAUGCCUAACACAUGCAAGUCGAACGAGACCUUCGGGUCUAGUGGCGCACGGGUGCGUAACGCGUGGGAACCUGCCCUUAGGUUCGGAAUGACUCCCCGAAAGGGGUGCUAAUACCGGAUAAUGUCUUCGGACCAAAGAUUUAUCGCCUUUGGAUGGGCCCGCGUUGGAUUAGCUAGUUGGUAGGGUAAAAGCCUACCAAGGCGACGAUCCAUAGCUGGUCUGAGAGGAUGAUCAGCCACACUGGGACUGAGACACGGCCCAGACUCCUACGGGAGGCAGGAAUGGGGAAUAUUGGACAAUGGGGGAAAGCCUGAUCCAGCCAUGCCGCGUGAGGGAUGAAGGCCUUAGGGUUGUAAAGCUCUUUUACCCGGGAUGAUAAUGACAGUACCGGGAGAAUAAGCCCCGGCUAACUCCGUG